This 492-nucleotide ribosomal RNA is filed under the name uncultured bacterium. RNAcentral describes it as "partial 16S ribosomal RNA". It matches the Rfam family "Bacterial small subunit ribosomal RNA", at positions 29 to 507 of the family's 1533-position model. The record is from RNAcentral.
AGUGAACGCUGGCGGUAGGCCUAACACAUGCAAGUCGAACGGCAGCACAGUAAGAGCUUGCUCUUACGGGUGGCGAGUGGCGGACGGGUGAGGAAUACAUCGGAAUCUACUUUUUCGUGGGGGAUAACGUAGGGAAACUUACGCUAAUACCGCAUACGACCUACGGGUGAAAGCAGGGGAUCUUCGGACCUUGCGCGAUUGAAUGAGCCGAUGUCGGAUUAGCUAGUUGGCGGGGUAAAGGCCCACCAAGGCGACGAUCCGUAGCUGGUCUGAGAGGAUGAUCAGCCACACUGGAACUGAGACACGGUCCAGACUCCUACGGGAGGCAGCAGUGGGGAAUAUUGGACAAUGGGCGCAAGCCUGAUCCAGCCAUACCGCGCGGGUGAAGAAGGCCUUCGGGUUGUAAAGCCCUUUUGUUGGGAAAGAAAAGCAGCAGGCUAAUACCCCGCUGUUCUGACGGUACCCAAAGAAUAAGCACCGGCUAACUUCGUG